UAGGGAAUCUUCCGCAAUGGACGAAAGUCUGACGGAGCAACGCCGCGUGAGUGAAGAAGGAUUUCGGUUCGUAAAACUCUGUUGUUAGGGAAGAAAAAAUGUAUAGUAACUAUAUACAAAAGAGACGGUACCUAACCAGAAAGCCACGGCUAACUACGUGCCAGCAGCCGCAGUAAUACGUAGGUGGCAAGCGUUGUCCGGAAUUAUUGGGCGUAAAGCGCGCGCAGGUGGUUUAGAAAGUCUGAUGUGAAAGCCCACGGCUCAACCGUGGAGGGUCAUUGGAAACUAAUAAACUUGAGUGCAGGAGAGAAAAGUGGAAUUCCUAGUGUAGCGGUGAAAUGCGUAGAGAUUAGGAGGAACACCGGUGGCGAAAGCGGCUUUUUGGCCUGCAACUGACACUGAGGCGCGAAAGCGUGGGGAGCAAACAGG
Molecule: ribosomal RNA, 429 nt
Filed under: Verrucomicrobiota bacterium
Lineage: Bacteria; Pseudomonadati; Verrucomicrobiota
Description: Verrucomicrobia bacterium partial 16S ribosomal RNA
Rfam family: Bacterial small subunit ribosomal RNA
Source: RNAcentral